Molecule: small RNA, 67 nt
Organism: Frankia sp.
Lineage: Bacteria; Bacillati; Actinomycetota; Actinomycetes; Frankiales; Frankiaceae
Rfam family: Transposase-2 RNA
Source: Rfam
GAAGCGGGAACCGAGCGCGGCUUCGGCCGAUCAGACUCGGGGCGCCUCGCCGAGAGGCAAGGCGGCA